This is a long non-coding RNA of Leptinotarsa decemlineata (Colorado potato beetle), 412 nucleotides long. RefSeq lists it as uncharacterized. The record is from RefSeq and is a predicted model, not a curated record. Lineage: Eukaryota; Metazoa; Arthropoda; Insecta; Coleoptera; Chrysomelidae.
UAGUCAAGGUAGAUAAGAUACCGUGUAGAUUGCUCAGUAUGAGUAACUGUUAGUAACUUGAAUGUGCUUGCAACGUUAUCAGAAUGAUGAAAGUAUAUUUUUCCAUUUCGUUGGUUUGCUUUGUUUUAGAAUUGAUUUGUAUCAGUUGUCAAGGAACGACGAGAGAUUUUCAACAAGAAGAUUGUAACAAAACCACUGAAGAAGGCCCAUUUGGUUGCAAAGCAUACAUACCCAGGUGGAGAUGGAGUAUAGACAACGGAACGUGUAUUGAAGAUGUCUAUGGAGGAUGUAAUCAGUCGAAGAACAAUUUUCUGGACUACAAUACUUGCAUGGAAGUAGCUGAACCAGUGUGUUCCAAUGUUGGAGAAUCAGUAACAGAGAAUGUCUCAAAAUAAAGAUUAAUUCAGUAAAU